AGAGUUUGAUCAUGGCUCAGAUUGAACGCUAGCGGGAUGCCUUACACAUGCAAGUCGGACGGCAGCGCGGACUUCGGUCUGGCGGCGAGUGGCGAACGGGUGAGUAAUGUAUCGGAACGUGCCCAGUAGCGGGGACAACCACUCGAAAGAGUGGCUAAUACCGCAUACGCCCUACGGGGAAAGGGGGGGAUCGCAAGACCUCUCACUAUUGGAGCGGCCGAUAUCGGAUUAGCUAGUUGGUGGGGUAAAGGCCUACCAAGGCGACGAUCCGUAGCUGGUUUGAGAGGACGACCAGCCACACUGGGACUGAGACACGGCCCAGACUCCUACGGGAGGCAGCAGUGGGGAAUUUUGGACAAUGGGGAAACCCUGAUCCAGCCAUUCCGCGUGUGCGAUGAAGGCCUUCGGGUUGUAAAGCACUUUUGGCAGGAAAGAAAUCGUGUGGGUUAAUACCCUGCGCGGAUGACGGUACCUGCAGAAUAAGCACCGGCUAACUACGUG
RNAcentral lists this ribosomal RNA (501 nucleotides) under uncultured bacterium. RNAcentral describes it as "bacterial SSU rRNA". It matches the Rfam family "Bacterial small subunit ribosomal RNA", at positions 8 to 507 of the family's 1533-position model. The record is from RNAcentral.